This 2458-nucleotide long non-coding RNA is filed under the name Eucalyptus grandis. RNAcentral's name for it is "long non-coding RNA (EGRA_LNC000788)". Lineage: Eukaryota; Viridiplantae; Streptophyta; Magnoliopsida; Myrtales; Myrtaceae. The record is from RNAcentral.
CGAUUUUAUAAUGCGAUAUCCCAGGACAAUGUAUCACCGACCCUUUCAUUUAUUAAGCACAUGCGGAAGCAAUUAAAAUCCCCAGACAAUAAAACGAUGGGAUAGAAAAGCAGGGCCAUAUUUUUCAUAUUGAAAUUUAUAACCAAACUUUUAUACAAAAUACAAACCAAAUCAUAAUUGAUCACUUCAAAAGGAAUUCUCAGAAGAAGAUAGACUCUCAGCCCAUCCAGGCCAUACUUAAGGCCCCUCUCGGGAUUAUCUUCUUCUUCCAAAAAUCCUUCUCCUCAUAUCUCACUUCCGAGUUCUCCUUCAUAGACUUCUCCUCCUCAGCUUCUCAUCGGGGUCCUGAAAUGUUUUUUCCCAAACUGGGAUGAGACUACGUCUCAGCGAGUUCUACCCCACUAAGCCCGAUUAGUAAACUACUAUACUAAAGGCUGCCUAAACACGCACAGGUGAGGGGACUUACCUUGGCCUCAGAUCCCACCUGCAAGUCAGUACAAUUCAUAAUAGGCACCCAAGCAAUCAUAUCACGGAUCGAAGCAUCGAUCAAACCGACCUAGUCGAUUACAUGACAACGAGACCACCCAUGGUCAUUUCCAUUCAAUCAAUCAAUUCAUAACCUCAUAUCAAAGCAAUGAAUCACAUCAAGUCACACUCAGAUCGAAUCAUCGAUCAAUCGACCUAGUCGAUUACAAGUCACUCAGACCAUCUCAUGGUCAUUUCCAAUCAAUCGAUCAAUUCACAACAUCAGAUCAAGCAAUGAUCAAUCGACCUAGUCGAUUACACGUCAUCACGACCCAGGCUUGGUCGGCACAUUCAAUACUAUCUAUAAAGUCCCAUCAAAUCAGGACUGCUCACCCAAAGCUGACCAUUAGAUAGUAUAACUCGCUCGAAGCUGAUAAUAAAGUAUACUGCUCACCCAAAGCUGACAUAUCGCCCGUAGGUCGAUAUAGUAUACUGGUAUACUGCUCACCCAAAGCUGACAUAUCGCCCGUAGGCCGAUAUAGUAUACCCUAUGCUCACCCAAAGCUGAUAAUAAAGUAUACUGCUCACCCAAAGCUGACAUAUCGCCCGUAGGUCGAUAUAGUAUACUGGUAUACUGCUCACCCAAAGCUGACAUAUCGCCCGAAGGCCGAUAUAGUAUACCCUAUGCUCACCCAAAGCUGAUAAUAAAGUAUACUGCUCACCCAAAGCUGACAUAUCGCCCGUAGGUCGAUAUAGUAUCCUGGUAUACUGCUCACCCAAAGCUGACAUAUCGCCCGAAGGCCGAUAUAGUAUACCAUAUUCUCACCCAAAUAAUCAAUUUAGGAAUAUAUCCUAAAUGUCCACAAUUAAAUCAAUUUGGCGCAAUUCAAAGCUCAAAUAAAUAAACGGACUGCGCCACGACAAUCAGCACGAGAUUUCGGUCGUCAGCCAUCUCAAUCUUAAUUUCUGAAAAAUAAAUAAAUAAUUAAUUAAUUUCGAAAAUUAAUUAUUAAAUAUUAAAAAUUCCGAUUAGCUCAAAAUAAGGCCCAAUUAAAUAAACAGAUUGCACCAUGGUCAUCAGCAUAAAUUUUCGGUCACGUGCCAUCCCAGUUAAAUUUUCAGAAAAUAAAUAAUUAUUUAAUUAAUUUCGAAAAUUAAUUAAUAUUAAAAAUUCAAUUUAGCUUAAAAUAAAAUCCGAUUAAAUAAACGGACUUUGCCACGAUCAUCAGCAUAAUAUUCCGGUUCCGGACCAUCUCCCUUGAAUUUUCGGAAAAUAAAUAUUUAUUUAAUUAAUUCCGAAAAUUAAUAUUUAAAUGCCCAAAAAUCUCACUUAGGCCCGAAUCAUCAAAUUGAAGCUCAAUUAGGGGUCCGAAAAUUCCCGAGACUCCCAAUAAAUAGUAGACCACGUCUACUUGUUAAUUUCACAAUCAAUUUAUCUAAAUCGCAUCACAAUUGACUAAUAAUUGCUAAUUAAUUCUAAUCUAACAACCUAAACAUAAUUAAUUAAAACUAAACCAACCUAAAGCAUAAUUAGCUAACUAAUCCGGGAUUAGUGAGAUUACUCACCAAAUCGCGCGCAAAUCGGAUCAAUCCGACGGCGGCGACGCGAGGAACGAUUGUUCCCAAAGCACGGCUCGGGUUCGGGGUCGAGAAACGGCCCAAAACGGCCCACGAACAGCUGGAUACCCACUCCGUGGGUUUGCUGGUUCGGCCACAAAACAGCAAGAAAGAGAGAGGGUUGGGGGCGGCAAGAGGUCGGGAGAGCGGGUGGUGGCUUGGCGAGGCCGAGCGGUGGCCCACGGUGGCCGGAGAUGGCCGGAUCGUGGCCGGUGCUGGCCAAGACAGAGCUGAACAGAGGCGGUUGGUAGCUGGACGGCGCACGGCAGAGACAGCAAACGCGAAGGGGCGGUGGCGGAGCACGCGGCGUGUGCGGGCGGUGCGGACGGCGGCUCGGCGGCGUGCGGCGGCGACGGCAAGCGGCUCUCCUUCUUCU